This 516-nucleotide long non-coding RNA is filed under the name Pan troglodytes (chimpanzee). RNAcentral describes it as "long non-coding RNA NONPTRT014467". The record is from RNAcentral. Lineage: Eukaryota; Metazoa; Chordata; Mammalia; Primates; Hominidae.
UUUUAUUAUUAUUUAUUUUUAUUAUUAUUAUUUUUUAAAAUAGAGACAGGGUCUCUAUUUCUCACCAGAGCAUGGUUGAUUCCUAGUUUCAUAAACUAUACAGCUAAUGUGUGUAAACUGUCUUGAUUGCUGUGAUAUCUGGCUUUUUUUUUUUUUUAAUUAUAAAAAAAACUUUUUGCAGAGACGAGGUUUCACUAUGUUGCCCAGGCUGGUCUCAAAUUCCUGGGCUCAAGCCAUCCUCCCACCUCAGCCUCCCAAAGUGCUGGGAUUACAGGUAUGAGCCACCAUGCUUGACAUGGUUCAUUUUAAAAGAUUGCAUCACUUUUGGCCUGGCUGUGAGACAUCCCUCCUUGUUAUAUCUUAUUUUGUUGCUGUUGCUUUUGUUUCUCCCCACACCCGUGCCCCCAUGGGGGUCCUUGGCCAGCUCUACUCCGACUGCAGUUGUAGAACUGGGCAGAGAAGGUGUGACACCCCCUCCCCCAUUAUACCUCAGAAAGAACUAGAAGUAUGAUAAAU